AAUUCGAUAGUUUAGAUAUUCAAAAAUAUCUCCCUGAAAGGAUUUUUCGAAAUUCAAAUUAUUUUCAAAGUUACAGCCGUUUUAGUGUCGUGGCAACUAGACCGGGUUAAGCGGACGACUGCAACAAUAGACGACGGGCGGUCCGGGCUACCUGAGUAUGAAUAGCUUUCUUUAUUUCUUGUCAUAUACUUUUAGUUUACUAUAUCAAUAGUCUGAAGGUCAUUGUAACGUAUUAGACAAGAAUCUAGUGGAAUUGGUGGUAAGGGUGCUGGUAAAUUGACUGAUAAAGUAAUCACUCAGUUGUCUGCGUACUACGGAUUAGCUAUCCAUCGUCAUCCUGAAUCCGUAGAAGAUAUGAAACGAGAAAUAUGGGCCACGUACUUGCAUAAAAUUUCAACUGAUAAGAAGCCUCAGCACAUGAAUUGCCCUCCUGGACCAGACAGCUGGUGCAAGUGGCAGAAAGCAGCGGCCGAAGGAACUGAGGAUGACUUUCACCAUGAAAAUCCACCUCUAACUGAUAAGGUUUUAAAAGUUAUGAAACCUAUUUACGAAUGCUUAUCAGAUGAUUCUUUAUUAGAACGUUGCUUGGGCAGCGAAACUCAAAAUCACAACGAGUCACUUAACUCUUUAAUAUGGACAUUUGCACCCAAACAUAUCCAUGCCGGGUCCCAGACAAUUGAGAUUGCUAAUUGUUUAGCAGUUUGCACUUUCAAUGAAGGCUUUUAUCCUAUUUUACAAAUAAUGAGUCUAAUGGGAAUAAAAAUAGGUCUGGAAUCCCAUGGGUUUGCUGUUAGGCGCAACGCAGUAAGGAUUGAACGGUCUGAGGUUCGAGCUUCAGAUGCUUCAAAAGAGGAAAGAACUGCUCGUUAUACAGAGAGAAAUGCUGAAAACAGUCAAUAUGAAGUAAAGGAAGACCCAAUGUAUGAAGAUGGAAUGGCUGAUUAAGAGAAUAUGGAUACAAAGGGAGAAAUCCUUUUCACGAGGACACGGCCUUUUUUUUUUCUCUACUUCAAGGACUUAGGGAAAAAACAAAUGUCCGAGAUGGAGAAAGUGGAGGAUAAAGCAAAAGCUGAACACUUGAAGAUAUUGCUUAAGAACGCGCAGGAAGCGAUAAAGGCUUACGAGGAGGCUCAAAAAGGUGAGCCAAGCACCCCGAAAAUACCGCCGAUUACAGGAGAUGAUUAAGCUGUCGUUGCUAACGACGGGGAGAAGGAUAAAGAGAAUACUGAAAAUGAAAAGGACAAGGAGGAUAAGACGGAAAAAAAAGGCACGAAUCGGCGGGGCAGUCUCGAGCUAAUUGGUGGAAGAAAAAACGUUCUGAAAAUAAUGAGGAUGGACAGAACUACAAAAUACAAAAUCGUGGUAAUCGCGGCGGACGCCGUUACCAAAAUCGGGGCGGUAGAGACCGUUACCAAAAUCGAGGGUAGCGUAAUUCCGGCUCCAUCAAUUUUUAUAUUUCAAAAGAGUUUUAAAUGAACAACAUUAUGGACAAAA
This is an RNA transcript of Cotesia glomerata, 1494 nucleotides long. RefSeq lists it as uncharacterized. The record is from RefSeq and is a predicted model, not a curated record. The transcript is spliced from 5 exons. Lineage: Eukaryota; Metazoa; Arthropoda; Insecta; Hymenoptera; Braconidae.